This 2151-nucleotide ribosomal RNA is filed under the name Phrosina semilunata. Its description in RNAcentral is "partial 18S ribosomal RNA". It matches the Rfam family "Eukaryotic small subunit ribosomal RNA". Lineage: Eukaryota; Metazoa; Arthropoda; Malacostraca; Amphipoda; Phrosinidae. The record is from RNAcentral.
UCCUGCCAGUGUCUAUAUGCUUGUAUCAAAGACUAAGCCAUGCAUGUCUAAGUACAGCUCGGUGGGGUAACCUACCGGGUGAAACCGCAGACGGCUCAUUAAAUCAGUUGUGGUCUAAGUGGGCGACAGUUUCCUUAUUUGGAUAACUGUGGAAAAUCCAGAGCUAAUACAUGCAACUUAAGUCCUGAGCCAAAGCCCUUGUGGUGAUUAACUCGGGAUGCUUUUAUUAGACCGAGGCGCGCGCACACGUGAUUUAGCUCUGUGCUUCGGUGCAGUAGCGGUCACUUGUGUGACAUUGUAAGUGCUUAAAGGUGACUCUGGAUAACACCGAUAAGCGUGCCUUAACUGGCACGCUGCCUACUUACGAGUGACUGCCCUAUCAGCUAAAACGUAUGUUAUACGCGAACGUUGGCUAUAACGGGUAACGGGGAAUCAGAGUUCGAUUCCGGAGAGGCAGCCUGAGAAACGGCUACCACGUCUAAGGACGGCAGCAGGCACGCAAAUUACCCAAUCCCAGCAUAUGGGGGAGGUAGUGACGAUAGAUACUGAUGCGGGUCGUUCUUCGGAACACUCGCAAUUGGAAUGGCUAUUUUCUAAACACCCUAACGAGAACCUACUGGAGGGCAAGCCUGGUGCCAGCAGCCGCGGUAAUUCCAGCUCCAGUGGCGUAUGCCAAUGUUGCUGCGGUUAAAAGGCUCGCAGUUGAAUGUCAGUUAAUAUACGCGUAGAGGUGCCGGGACGUUGCAAGCUUCGGUUUUCGGACCUUAGUGAGCCGUCUCUCCAAGUGCAUCUCUCGCGGGCUAACAAUUCGAUUAGCAGGUUAAGAGUUGUGAUGGUUCGCUGUUACUUCUCUGUCCCGCUAGUUGACACCUUGAGUAAAUCAGAGUGCUUAAAGCAGUCGUUGCAACACUACGGCUGCGACUACCCUCGCGGGCAAGUCGUAUGUCUGGUGACGGCGAAAGCCGUUUGGACAUUGUCUUUGCUUUGCAUGGUACGUCGGAAGACGCCGUGUAAGUUGGUUGCGCUUACGGUGUGUCACACCUCGUGUGUGCGCGUGCACCAACGAGCACGGAAUGAUAUGAAAGGGAUGGAUCGAAGGCAUUGGUAUUGCGAGGCGAGAGGUGAAAUUCUAUGACCCCCGCAAGACUACCCGAAGCGAAAGCGUCUGCCUAGGACGUCUUCAUUAAUCAUGAACGAAAGUUGAAGGAUCGAAGGCGAUCAGAUACCGCCCUAGUUGCAACUGUAAACGAUAUCAACCAUCAAUCCGUCAAAGCGUUCCCUUGCGCUCACGGAGGCGAGUCCGCUCUCUUCGUGAGCUAAGUGUAAGCGCUCGAUGGGCAGCUCUUUUCGGACGGAAAACCAGAGUGUUUCGGUUCCGGGGGGAGUCUGGUUGCAAAGCUGAAACUUAAAGGAAUUGACGGAAAGGCACCACCAGGCGUGGAGCUUGCGGCUCAAUUUGACUCAACACGGGAAACCUUACCAGACCCGAACAUCUUUGAUGAUUGACAGACUGAAAGCUCUUUCUUGAUAAAGUGGAUGGUGGUGCAUGGCCGUUCUUAGUUGGUGGAGUGAUCUGUCUGGUUAAUUCCGAUAACGAACGAGACUCUCCCCUGCUAACGGACCUUUGGUUCUUUUAGACGGUGUGAUUCGGUGCAAGGACCCACGGGCGUAAGCCCCGGGACCGGACGAUGUCCACUGAUCCUUGACGCGUCGGUUGUGCAUGCUUGCGUGCGCGGCUUCGGUUGUGCGUGCUCGUGUGUGCUUUCGACAAAGCGUCUCGGAGUUCUUUUCUUCUUAGAGGGAUUGACGACUCAUAAGUCGUAAGAAACAGGGAGCAAUAACAGGUCUGUGAUGCCCUUAGAUGUUCUGGGCUGCACGCGUGUUACAAUGCCGGUAUCAACGGGUUAUUACACUUUCCGUGGCCUACUCUGAAAAGAGUGGGUAAACCUGUGAAAUACCUAGUGCGAUUGUCUCACGAUAUCGCAAUUUUGGCAUGCUUGGGACUGGGGAUUGCAAUUAUUCCCCACAAACGAGGAAUGCCUAGUAGUGGCGAGUCACAGAGCUCGCUGCGACUCUGUCCCUGCCCUUUGUACACACCGCCCGUGGCUACUACCGAUUGAGUGUACCAGUGAGAUUUUUGGACUGGCGAAC